Molecule: ribosomal RNA, 439 nt
Filed under: uncultured bacterium
Lineage: Bacteria
Description: partial 16S ribosomal RNA
Rfam family: Bacterial small subunit ribosomal RNA
Source: RNAcentral
CUACGGGAUGCUGCAGUGGGGAAUAUUGCACAAUGGAGGAAACUCUGAUGCAGCAACGCCGCGUGGAGGAUGACACUUUUCGGAGCGUAAACUCCUUUUAUAUAGGAAGAAGAUGACGGUACUAUAUGAAUAAGCGCCGGCUAACUCCGUGCCAGCAGCCGCGGUAAUACGGAGGGCGCAAGCGUUACUCGGAAUCACUGGGCGUAAAGAGCGUGUAGGCGGAUUAAAAAGUCAGAAGUGAAAUCCUAUAGCUUAACUAUAGAACUGCUUCUGAAACUCUUAAUCUAGAAUAUGGGAGAGGUAGAUGGAAUUUCUGGUGUAGGGGUAAAAUCCGUAGAGAUAAGAAGGAAUACCGAUUGCGAAGGCGAUCUACUAGAACAUUAUCGACGCUGAGACGCGAAAGCGUGGGGAGCAAACAGGAUUAGAUACCCCCGUAGUC